CCUACGGGUGGCAGCAGUGAGGAAUAUUGGUCAAUGGACGAGAGUCUGAACCAGCCAAGUAGCGUGAAGGAUGUCUGCCCUAUGGGUUGUAAACUUCUUUUAUAUGGGAAUAAAAUGUUCCACGUGUGGGAUUUUGUAUGUACCAUAUGAAUAAGGAUCGGCUAACUCCGUGCCAGCAGCCGCGGUAAUACGGAGGAUCCGAGCGUUAUCCGGAUUUAUUGGGUUUAAAGGGAGCGUAGGUGGAUUGUUAAGUCAGUUGUGAAAGUUUGCGGCUCAACCGUAAAAUUGCAGUUGAAACUGGCAGUCUUGAGUAAAGUAGAGGUGGGCGGAAUUCGUGGUGUAGCGGUGAAAUGCUUAGAUAUCACGAAGAACUCCGAUUGCGAAGGCAGUUCACUGGACUGCAACUGACACUGAGGCUCGAAAGUGUGGGUAUCAAACAGGAUUAGAUACCCGUGUAGUC
Molecule: ribosomal RNA, 460 nt
Filed under: uncultured bacterium
Lineage: Bacteria
Description: partial 16S ribosomal RNA
Rfam family: Bacterial small subunit ribosomal RNA
Source: RNAcentral